Molecule: long non-coding RNA, 297 nt
Organism: Mauremys reevesii (Reeves's turtle)
Lineage: Eukaryota; Metazoa; Chordata; Testudines; Geoemydidae
Exons: 3
Source: RefSeq, a predicted model, not a curated record
GAGGAAGCAAACAGUUUUUAAAUGAAAUUUGGAGAUGAUAUUGAAGUGGGAAGGUCUGUAACCGUGAAGUCAGAGAGCUGAAAAACAUGGACAGAGAUAAAAGAACACUUGAGUUGAAGAAAUGCAAGAGUAAAUGUUCAGCAUUUUGUGUCAUGAUGAGAAUUUUAAUGAAUGCAAAAGAAAAGCAUUCGUGCAGGGUAAUGUCCAGUAUAUGAAUCAGUUGUAGCACUGUUGUGAACUCCAUGCCACCUGCCCCAACCAUGAAAUCAGAGCACCGGGAAGCAGAGAUGCGUGAGC